RNAcentral lists this ribosomal RNA (618 nucleotides) under Mierspenaeopsis hardwickii. RNAcentral's name for it is "partial 16S ribosomal RNA". Lineage: Eukaryota; Metazoa; Arthropoda; Malacostraca; Decapoda; Penaeidae. The record is from RNAcentral.
AGAGGUAAAGUAAAAGAUAAUUGGUUAAAAAUGCUUAAAUGUAAAAUUUUAUUUAAAUGGAUUGUUUUGUGUUAAUAAAGGGUGAAAUCGAUUUUUUGUUGUAUAACUAAUUUUGUUAAAUAAAAGUUGUUGAGGUUGUUAAGGUUAAGGUAUGAACCAGGAUUAGAUACCCUGUUACACUUUACUUAGAAGUUUAUUGUACCUAGGUAAUAAACAGUUAUGAUCUUGAAACUUAAAGGAUUUGGCGGUAAUUUAGUCUAGUUAGAGGAACCUGUCCUAUAAUCGAUAAACCACGUAAUAUCUUACUUUAUCUUGAAAGUUUUCAGUUUAUAUACCAUCAUUAUUAGAUAACUUUAAUAAGAUAGAGAAGUUAUUGAAAUAAUUUUUAGUUAAUAUAUUAGAUCAAGGUGUAGCUAAUGAUAAAGUAGAGAUGGGUUACAAUAAUAUGAGUUUAUAACGAACUUAAGAAAGAACUUUUUUAAUGAAGGAGGAUUUAAAUGUAAAUGUGUUUUAAUAUGACAUAUUGAUUAUAGCUCUAGAUUAUGUACACAUCGCCCGUCGCUCUCGUUAUAUAAAGCGAGAUAAGUCGUAACAUAGUAGGUGUACUGGAAAGUGUAC